RNAcentral lists this ribosomal RNA (253 nucleotides) under uncultured bacterium. RNAcentral describes it as "partial 16S ribosomal RNA". It matches the Rfam family "Bacterial small subunit ribosomal RNA", at positions 524 to 776 of the family's 1533-position model. The record is from RNAcentral.
UACGGGGGGGGCAAGCGUUGUUCGGAAUUACUGGGCGUAAAGGGCUCGUAGGCGGCCAACUAAGUCAUACGUGAAAUCCCUCAGCUUAACUGGGGAACUGCGUGUGAUACUGGAUGGCUUGGAUUUGGGAGAGGGAUGCGGAAUUCCAGGUGUAGCGGUGAAAUGCGUAGAUAUCAGGAAGAACACCUAUGGCGAAGGCAGCUCUCUGGGACGGUACUGACGCUGAGACGCGAAAGCGUGGGGAGCGAACAGG